This 468-nucleotide ribosomal RNA is filed under the name Pseudomonas sp. R-45823. RNAcentral describes it as "bacterial SSU rRNA". It matches the Rfam family "Bacterial small subunit ribosomal RNA", at positions 21 to 484 of the family's 1533-position model. The record is from RNAcentral. Lineage: Bacteria; Pseudomonadati; Pseudomonadota; Gammaproteobacteria; Pseudomonadales; Pseudomonadaceae.
GGCUCAGAUUGAACGCUGGCGGCAGGCCUAACACAUGCAAGUCGAGCGGCAGCACGGGUACUUGUACCUGGUGGCGAGCGGCGGACGGGUGAGUAAUGCCUAGGAAUCUGCCUGGUAGUGGGGGAUAACGCUCGGAAACGGACGCUAAUACCGCAUACGUCCUACGGGAGAAAGCAGGGGACCUUCGGGCCUUGCGCUAUCAGAUGAGCCUAGGUCGGAUUAGCUAGUUGGUGAGGUAAUGGCUCACCAAGGCGACGAUCCGUAACUGGUCUGAGAGGAUGAUCAGUCACACUGGAACUGAGACACGGUCCAGACUCCUACGGGAGGCAGCAGUGGGGAAUAUUGGACAAUGGGCGAAAGCCUGAUCCAGCCAUGCCGCGUGUGUGAAGAAGGUCUUCGGAUUGUAAAGCACUUUAAGUUGGGAGGAAGGGCAGUUACCUAAUACGUAUCUGUUUGACGUACCGACAG